RNAcentral lists this ribosomal RNA (253 nucleotides) under uncultured bacterium. Its description in RNAcentral is "partial 16S ribosomal RNA". It matches the Rfam family "Bacterial small subunit ribosomal RNA", at positions 524 to 776 of the family's 1533-position model. The record is from RNAcentral.
UACGUAGGUGGCAAGCGUUGUCCGGAUUUACUGGGCGUAAAGAGCGCGCAGGCGGUCGUUCAAGUCGCGUGUGAAAGCCCCCGGCUCAACUGGGGAGGGUCACGCGAUACUGAUCGACUCGAAGGCAGGAGAGGGAAGUGGAAUUCCCGGUGUAGUGGUGAAAUGCGUAGAUAUCGGGAGGAACACCAGUGGCGAAAGCGAGCUCCUGGACGUUUUCUGACGCUGAGACGCGAAAGCCAGGGGAGCGAACGGG